UACGUAGGGUGCAAGCGUUACUCGGAAUUACUGGGCGUAAAGCGUGCGCAGGCGGUUGUGCAAGACAGAUGUGAAAUCCCCGGGCUCAACCUGGGAACUGCAUUUGUGACUGCACGGCUAGAGUGUGUCAGAGGGGGGUAGAAUUCCACGUGUAGCAGUGAAAUGCGUAGAGAUGUGGAGGAAUACCGAUGGCGAAGGCAGCCCCCUGGGAUAGCACUGACGCUCAUGCACGAAAGCGUGGGGAGCAAACAGG
This 253-nucleotide ribosomal RNA is filed under the name uncultured bacterium. Its description in RNAcentral is "partial 16S ribosomal RNA". It matches the Rfam family "Bacterial small subunit ribosomal RNA", at positions 524 to 776 of the family's 1533-position model. The record is from RNAcentral.